AAGUGUUACAUGUAAUGAAUUGUCAUUGACUUUCCUGGUUUGUCCAUUUAUUAUAAAUCGGAUUAUUUUAUAUAGAAAAACAUCCUCCAAAACGUUUUUCAUGAGCUCUGAUGAAUCGAGUCCUAAGGGUCUGAUGUAUUCUGAAGGGAGAGUCACAGCAUUUACUUAAAUGGAAGCAGGUGACAUAAAGUUCAGUCAUGUAUGAGAAUUGGUCUGUGGAAGACCAAAUGGAGGCAGCACACAUCCUUUGUGGAUUGAUGACCUUGGCAAACUGGUUAUAUUCUUUGACUGGUUGGAGUACACCAAGUGACCCCUUAAGUCCAUUCCAAACUUGAGGAAAUAUCAUCACUUCAGAACUUCAGCUGACCACCCAGUGAGUGAAUUCAUGAGAGAGCAUGCCAAGGACAGUGAGAUUGAAGUUAAAAUUGACAAGCCCACAACAAUGGCUUUUCCAUGGAGAGUACCCUGAACCCAUCCAACUAAAAGGACUUAAUGCAAAAAGGCUCUGAUCCUUUAAAUAAUUGAAAAAUCUAAUAUACUGAUAUGUGAUCUUUAUAAACUAAAUAUAAGAUUUGAGAAUGAGCCCGGUACUGAGCUGAUGAAAACGUGUAUCAAUUUUUUAUUGACAAUUAUUUAUUCAAUAGAAACAUGUUCAUGUGAAAUGAAGCUAACAGUAAUUUUGAGUGAAAAACUGUGGUUUUAGCAAAUGAUUGAUAGAAGGGUGCUACACCCUGUCUUUUGUUGGUAGAGCCCCUCUGCCAUAAUGGAGACCACUAUAUGAUUAUUAUUGAUACAAACUUAAAACAA
This is a long non-coding RNA of Mya arenaria, 807 nucleotides long. RefSeq lists it as uncharacterized. The transcript is spliced from 4 exons. NCBI's taxonomy places the organism in Eukaryota, Metazoa, Mollusca, Bivalvia, Myida, Myidae. The record is from RefSeq and is a predicted model, not a curated record.